This 392-nucleotide ribosomal RNA is filed under the name uncultured bacterium. RNAcentral's name for it is "partial 16S ribosomal RNA". It matches the Rfam family "Bacterial small subunit ribosomal RNA", at positions 523 to 918 of the family's 1533-position model. The record is from RNAcentral.
AUACGGAGGACGCGAGCGUUAUCCGGAUUUAUUGGGUUUAAAGGGUGCGUAGGCGGGAGCUUAAGUCAGCGGUUAAAUGGUGCGGCUCAACCGUGCCCUGCCGUUGAAACUGGGUUUCUUGAGAGUGCAAGAGGCGGAUGGAAUUCAUGGUGUAGCGGUGAAAUGCUUAGAUAUCAUGAAGAACUCCGAUUGCGAAGGCAGUCCGCUGGGGCACGUCUGACGCUGAUGCUCGAAGGUGCGGGAAUCAAACAGGAUUAGAUACCCUGGUAGUCCGCACGGUAAACGAUGAUUACCCGCUGUCGGCGGUAGACAGUCGGCGGCCAAGCGAAAGCGAUAAGUAAUCCACCUGGGGAGUACGCCGGCAACGGUGAAACUUAAAGGAAUUGACGGGG